AGAAGAGAAAGAGAGCUUUCUUCGGUCCACUCACGGGCUACGAUAAGAUAUCAAUUAGCUGCCGACUCAUUCACCCAAAUACUAAGCCAAAACUAUCUAUGGGGCUCAGUAAAUGAUUGAAUGAUGCGGGAGACAAAUUGAAUCUUAAGUUUCCUAUAAUUGGACUGAAGGGAGCUCCCUUUUGUUUCAAA
This is a non-coding RNA of Helianthus annuus (common sunflower), 191 nucleotides long. The record is from Rfam. NCBI's taxonomy places the organism in Eukaryota, Viridiplantae, Streptophyta, Magnoliopsida, Asterales, Asteraceae.